Molecule: ribosomal RNA, 253 nt
Filed under: uncultured bacterium
Lineage: Bacteria
Description: partial 16S ribosomal RNA
Rfam family: Bacterial small subunit ribosomal RNA
Source: RNAcentral
UACGUAGGGGGCAAGCGUUGUCCGGAAUUAUUGGGCGUAAAGAGCGUGUAGGCGGUCCGGUAAGUCGGUUGUGAAAGUCCAGGGCUCAACCCUGGGAUGCCGAUCGAUACUGCCGGACUAGAGUCCGGAAGAGGCGAGUGGAAUUCCCGGUGUAGCGGUGAAAUGCGCAGAUAUCGGGAGGAACACCAAUGGCGAAGGCAGCUCGCUGGGACGGUACUGACGCUGAGACGCGAAAGCUAGGGGAGCGAACAGG